This 253-nucleotide ribosomal RNA is filed under the name uncultured bacterium. Its description in RNAcentral is "partial 16S ribosomal RNA". It matches the Rfam family "Bacterial small subunit ribosomal RNA", at positions 524 to 776 of the family's 1533-position model. The record is from RNAcentral.
GACGUAGGGCGCGAGCGUUGUCCGGAUUUAUUGGGCGUAAAGAGCUCGUAGGCGGCUUGUCGCGUCGGCCGUUAAAGCUCGGGGCUCAACUCCGAGCCUGCAGUCGAUACGGGCAGACUAGAGUGCUGUAGGGGAGACUGGAAUUCCUGGUGUAGCGGUGAAAUGCGCAGAUAUCAGGAGGAACACCUGCGGCGAAGGCGGGUUGCUGGGCUGACACUGACGCUGAGGCGCGAAAGCUAGGGGAGCGAACGGG